RNAcentral lists this ribosomal RNA (446 nucleotides) under uncultured bacterium. RNAcentral's name for it is "bacterial SSU rRNA". It matches the Rfam family "Bacterial small subunit ribosomal RNA", at positions 355 to 825 of the family's 1533-position model. The record is from RNAcentral.
UGGGGAAUAUUGGACAAUGGGCGCAAGCCUGAUCCAGCAACGCCGCGUGAAGGAUGAAGUAUUUCGGUAUGUAAACUUCGUAAGAAUAGGAAGAAUAAAUGACGGUACUAUUUGUAAGGUCCGGCUAACUACGUGCCAGCAGCCGCGGUAAUACGUAGGGACCAAGCGUUGUUCGGAUUUAUUGGGCGUAAAGGGCGCGUAGGCGGCCAGAUAAGUCCCGGGUGAAAUCCCUCGGCCCAACCGAGGAACUGCCUUGGAAACUGUCUGGCUCGAGGCCGGGAGAGGGUAGUGGAAUUCCCAGUGUAGCGGUGAAAUGCGUAGAUACUGGGAGGAACACCGGUGGCGAAGGCGGCUACCUGGACCGGUUCUGACGCUGAUGCGCGAAAGCGUGGGAGCAAACAGGAUUAGAUACCCGCGUAGUCCCUGAGCGGGCUGGCAAGGCGCAU